This 2304-nucleotide long non-coding RNA is filed under the name Homo sapiens (human). RNAcentral's name for it is "non-protein coding lnc-FTMT-2:11". Lineage: Eukaryota; Metazoa; Chordata; Mammalia; Primates; Hominidae. The record is from RNAcentral.
CUCAUUUUUUCUCUUGCUGCCACCAUGUGAGAAGUGCAUUUCACCUCCUGCCGUGAAUGUGAGGCCUCCUCAGCCAUGUGGAACUGUAAGUCCAGUGAAACCUCUUUUUCUUCUCAGUCUCGGGUCUUUAUCAGCAGCGUGAAAGCGGACUAAUACACUGGUCAUCCUGAUAAGGUUUUAGGGAGCCCGAUCUUUUCAUAAUGUAAAGCAGAAGACACCUUCUAAUGAGAGGCUGAGUAGGAUAACACUAGUGGGAGUUUGGAGAUCUUAUGUUAAGCUGAUAGAAAGCAGCUCUUGCACACCACUGGCUGUAAGAACUGCUUCACCUACAUUCUGAGCCUAACAGAGGUACACAAGACAAAAUCCAAAGAAGUGUGCAUAUAUUUUGUUACAGUGAGCAUUUUUUACCCUAACUUAUCAGUGUUCCUUUGUUAAUUUAAGACAGAGUGUGCAAAAAACAACAACAACAACAAAAAAGGUAUAUGGGAAUAAUCUGAAGAGACAAGCUACCUUCUGGUGUUUGGUGUUUGUCACAGAGUAUCCGGUUUUAAAAGGUCUUGACUUUUGCCCUUCUUUAAAUUUUUCAUUUCAGGAAAGAUCCUAUAAACUUGCUGCAUCUCAAAAUAAGUAUAUUUGGAAAGUCAUUUUGGUUUUAAGAAAACGAACUUCACUGGAAAAAAAAAAGAAAAAAAAAAGUAGGCCUAUUCUUUACCUAAAGAAACCUGAGAACAUAUUUUAUUUUGAGAAAUAUUCUUUGCUUUAACUUUAAUCCAAAUAUGAGAACAUUUUAUGUUAUAACUACACUGUAGCACUUAAUUAAAAAAAAUUAAAUCUUCUACAAAAGAAUUAGAGAAAAUACAAAAAAUAGAGCACUUAAUAGUUUAGAUUGCAUUUACACCAAAAUAAAUAAGGGUGAUGAAAAGAACAAUUCAAUUUAUCAAGAACUGUAGAAGGUGUGAGAUUUUAUCCUAUAUGUAAGCUAACAAAUUAGCCUGCCAUAGUUUCAAAUAGAUGCUGGCAGAAUACAUGAGAGUCCUGGAUCAGAGACAAAUAACUUUAUUAUUCAUGGCCCAGCAAGAAGUAUAAGAUUUAUGUUUGCAUAGAUUCCUCUUAACCCCCAAGAUCCAUAGGGUGAGAUUCUUUUCUGUCAAAGCUGAGGAACCUUGAGCUUAGGGAGCCUGAAUAUUUUAUAAUGGGCUGUAAGCAAACCUGCCCAUCCUUUACCUCAUAAAGGAAGAUUAUCUUUGUAAUACUGGACAGCACACAGGCACACACUCUGAGCCAGAUGGAGACACUAUAUCUUCUGAAGCUGUUCACUAUAGCAACAUCUUUAAAAAUGUAGAACGAACGGAAGCUGCCAGUGCUUCUGAUAGCAAGAUGAGCAGAAAUGUGAGAGAUACACAGAUACUUGUCUCCUAAAACAUGAAUGUGAACAUUUGAAGUACUGCCUGGAACACCCAUUCAAUUUUUUUUCAUUGGUAAAAGUGUGGUAUUUAUUACUCAAGACAGUUAGCUUUAGAGUCAAAUUCCAAUUUUGAUGGAUUUUAAGUAAUUGUAGUAAUUAUCUAUGUAAUGUGUUAUCCAAAAAUUGAAAAGAAAAUUAAAGAUACCAGUGAAUAUAACAACAUUCAGACAAAAGGAAUUUUAGAAUUUUAAAACCCUAGAAGUCCACCAUACUGAAGAAUGAUUUUCAUGGAUGUUUAUUUUUACAACUUGAUCUAGAUAAGUGUUGGCAAAGUACAGCCCAUGGGCCAAAUCUGUCCUACUACCAGCUUUUAUAAACAACAUUUUAUUGGAAUACAGGUACAUUCAGUUGUUACUUAUUGUCUAUGGCUGCUCUUGCACUAGAAUGACAGAGUGAAGUAGUUGUGACAGAGAAUGUAUGGUCUACAAAAGUGGUCCCCAGCCUUUUUGACACCAGGGACUGGUUUCAUGGAAGACAAUUUUUCCGUGGACAGGGUAGAAGGGGAACAAUAGGAUGAUUUCAGGAUGAAACUGUUCCACCUCAGAUCAUCAGGCAUUACAUUCUCAUAAGGAGCAUACAACAUAGAUCCACCACAUGCACAGUUCACAAUAGGGCUUGUGCUCCUAUGAGAAUCUAAUGCUGCCACUGAUCUGACAGGAGGCAGAGCUCAGGUUGUAAUGCUCGCUCACCCACUGCUCACCUCCUGCUGUGCGGCUUGGUUGCUAACAGGCCAAAGACUGGGUUGGGAACCCCUGGUCUACAAAAGCAAAAAUAUUUACAAUCUAGCUGCUUACAGAUGUCUGUUGACUCCUGAUCUAAAUUCCACAAGAACCAUAUCA